GGGGCUGUCCCUAGUACGAGAGGACCGGGAUGGACGGACCGCUGGUGUGUCAGUUGUGCUGCCAAGUGCAUAGCUGAGUAGCUAAGUCCGGGAUGGAUAACCGCUGAAAGCAUCUAAGUGGGAAGCCAGCCUCGAGAUGAGUUCCCUCACAGAGUGAAUCUGGUAAGUGCGCUGGGAGAAUACCAGUUUGAUAGGCGGAAUGUGUACAGGCUGAGAGGUCUUUAGCAAAUCCGUACUAAAGCACGAGGGCUUAACCG
This 257-nucleotide ribosomal RNA is filed under the name Chloroflexota bacterium. Its description in RNAcentral is "Chloroflexi bacterium partial 23S ribosomal RNA". It matches the Rfam family "Bacterial large subunit ribosomal RNA", at positions 2668 to 2925 of the family's 2925-position model. Lineage: Bacteria; Bacillati; Chloroflexota. The record is from RNAcentral.